UCUCUGGUGGUCCAGUGGCUAGGACUUGGUGUUUUCACUGCUGUGUGCCCAGGUUCAAUCCCUGGUUGGGGAA
RNAcentral lists this transfer RNA (73 nucleotides) under Bos taurus (domestic cattle). It matches the Rfam family "tRNA". From Rfam's summary of the family: Transfer RNA (tRNA) molecules are approximately 80 nucleotides in length. Their secondary structure includes four short double-helical elements and three loops (D, anti-codon, and T loops). The record is from Rfam by way of RNAcentral. Lineage: Eukaryota; Metazoa; Chordata; Mammalia; Artiodactyla; Bovidae. RNAcentral also lists the same sequence under 1 other name.